AGAACGAACGCUGGCGGCAUGCCUAAUACAUGCAAGUCGAACGAACACUCUGACUUCGGUUGGGGUGUUAGUGGCGCACGGGUGCGUAACGCGUGGGAAUCUGCCCUUGGGUUCGGAAUAACAGUUGGAAACGACUGCUAAUACCGGAUGAUAUCGAAAGAUCAAAGAUUUAUCGCCCAGGGAUGAGCCCGCGUAGGAUUAGCUAGUUGGUGGGGUAAAGGCUCACCAAGGCGACGAUCCUUAGCUGGUCUGAGAGGAUGAUCAGCCACACGUGGACUGAGACGACGGCCCAGACCUCCGUACGGGAGCAGCAGUAGGAAUAGUUGGACAAGUGGGCGCGAAGUCCUAGA
Molecule: ribosomal RNA, 350 nt
Filed under: uncultured soil bacterium
Lineage: Bacteria
Description: bacterial SSU rRNA
Rfam family: Bacterial small subunit ribosomal RNA
Source: RNAcentral